AGAGUUUGAUCAUGGCUCAGAACGAACGCUGGCGGCGUGCUUAACACAUGCAAGUCGAGUGCGCGUGCCGUAGCAAUACGGUAUGGCGCACGGCGCACGGGUGCGUAACACGUGGGCAAUCUGCCCUCCGGUGGGGAAUAACCCCGCGAAAGCGGGGCUAAUUCCGCAUAACAUUCCCUGAACUCUGGUUCGGGGAUUCAAAGCAGCAAUGCGCCGGAGGAGGAGCCCGCGCCCGAUUAGCUAGUUGGCGAGGUGACGGCUCACCAAGGCAAUGAUCGGUAGCUGGUCUGAGAGGAUGGCCAGCCACACUGGAACUGAGACACGGUCCAGACUCCUACGGGAGGCAGCAGUGGGGAAUCUUGCGCAAUGGGCGAAAGCCUGACGCAGCGACGCCGCGUGGGGGAUGAAGCUUCUCGGAGUGUAAACCCCUUUCGACCGGGACGAAUGCCCGCAAGGGAGUGACGGUACCGGUAGAAGAAGCCCCGGCUAACUACGUGCCAGCAGCCGCGGUAAGACGUAGGGGGCCAGCGUUGUUCGGAAUUACUGGGUGUAAAGGGUUCGUAGGCGGUGUGGCAAGUCGGGAGUGAAAUUUCUGGGCUUAACUCAGAAGCUGCUUCCGAAACUGCUGUGCUAGAGUGCGGGAGAGGCGCGUGGAAUUGCAGGUGUAGCGGUGAAAUGCGUAGAUAUCUGCAGGAACACCCGUGGCGAAAGCGGCGCGCUGGACCGUUACUGACGCUGAGGAACGAAAGCUAGGGGAGCAAACAGGAUUAGAUACCCUGGUAGUCCUAGCCCUAAACGAUCACGACUUGGGGUGCCUUCCGUUCGGAAGUCGUCCCGGAGCUAACGCGUUAAGUCCUGCACCUGGGGAGUACGUCGCAGACUGAAACUCAAAGGAAUUGACGGGGGCCCGCACAAGCGGUGGAACAUGUGGUUCAAUUCGACGCUACGCGAGGAACCUUACCU
RNAcentral lists this ribosomal RNA (963 nucleotides) under uncultured bacterium. Its description in RNAcentral is "bacterial SSU rRNA". It matches the Rfam family "Bacterial small subunit ribosomal RNA", at positions 8 to 976 of the family's 1533-position model. The record is from RNAcentral.